This 260-nucleotide long non-coding RNA is filed under the name Vigna radiata. RNAcentral's name for it is "long non-coding RNA (VRAD_LNC005974)". Lineage: Eukaryota; Viridiplantae; Streptophyta; Magnoliopsida; Fabales; Fabaceae. The record is from RNAcentral.
UAGUAAGAAGGGUGUAUGAAAAUGUGUGGAGGAAAAGGUGAAACGUGAAGAAAGAAGGGACGAAUGAGAAUGCAACAAGUAUAGAGAGAGUGAUUUCAGAACAUGUGAACAAAUCCCACGAAUCUGCAGUUCUCAGGUCCUUCUUACAUUGCUUUUUCUUCUUUUUGUACACUCACAUAUUACGUACUUCUGCUCUUCAUCUUCUUCACUAUUUUACCUCUCUUUAAGCAUAUUCUCGAUCAUAUGUUUCUUCCCACCAC